Molecule: ribosomal RNA, 206 nt
Filed under: uncultured bacterium
Lineage: Bacteria
Description: partial 16S ribosomal RNA
Rfam family: Bacterial small subunit ribosomal RNA
Source: RNAcentral
CGUGUAGGCGGCCAGGUAGGUCUGUUGUGAAAACUCGAGGCUCAACCUCGAGACGCCGAUGGAAACCAUCUGGCUAGAGUCCGGAAGAGGAGAGUGGAAUUCCCGGUGUAGCGGUGAAAUGCGCAGAUAUCGGGAAGAACACCCGUGGCUAAGGCGGCUCUCUAGUACGGUACUGACGCUGAGACGCGAAAGCGUGGGAGCGAACA